AGCAGCCGCGGUAAUUCCAGCUCCAAUAGCGUAUAUUAAAGUUGUUGCAGUUAAAAAGCUCGUAGUUGAAUUUCGGGGUUAAUAAGUUGGUCGUGCCAAUGGUAUGUACUGGCUUUAUUGAUUCCUACCUCUUGAAGAACUGUGAUGCCAUUAAUUUGGUGUUGCAGGGAAUCAGGACUGUUACCUUGAAAAAAUUAGAGUGUUUAAAGCAGGCUUAAGCUUGAAUACAUUAGCAUGGAAUAAUGAAAUAGGACGUUUGAACCUAUUUUGUUGGUUUUUAGGAUCGACGUAAUGAUUAAUAGGGAUAGUUGGGGGCAUUAGUAUUCAAUUGUCAGAGGUGAAAUUCUUGGAUUUAUUGAAGACUAACUACUGCGAAAGCAUUUGCCAAGGAUGUUUUCAUUAAUCAAGAACGAAAGUUAGGGGAUCGAAGACGAUCAGAUACCGUCGUAGUCUUAACCAUAAACUAUGCCGACUAGGGAUCGGAUGAUGUUAAUUUUUAAUGACUCAUUCGGCGCCUUAC
RNAcentral lists this ribosomal RNA (520 nucleotides) under uncultured Glomus. RNAcentral's name for it is "SSU rRNA". It matches the Rfam family "Eukaryotic small subunit ribosomal RNA", at positions 569 to 1091 of the family's 1831-position model. Lineage: Eukaryota; Fungi; Glomeromycota; Glomeromycetes; Glomerales; Glomeraceae. The record is from RNAcentral.